GGUGGCGUAUGGGACCCACAACCAGCUGGGUUUUUUUUUCUAACUUUGCGUCGAGUCGCCGCCGUGUUCGACUGUUUUUAAGGGGUUGAGGAGAUUACCGGUAACCGGCAAUAGCCAGUCUUGACACGUGUUUUGGUACUUCCAAUUCCAAAGAGAAGAUCUCAGGAUGAUUGCAGGGCACACACCACCUCGUUCCGCAUUUUCUUGAUUUACUGUGAUGUGAUACGCUAAUUGAUAUAUUUGUUUUAUUUGGAUUUUUAUGAUGAUGUUCUUUGGAUAUUGGUUUUACGACUUUAAAAAUGAAAUUUUUGGGUCUUAUUUUUGAGACGUUACACUUCUAAA
Molecule: non-coding RNA, 342 nt
Organism: Lactuca sativa (garden lettuce)
Lineage: Eukaryota; Viridiplantae; Streptophyta; Magnoliopsida; Asterales; Asteraceae
Source: RefSeq, a predicted model, not a curated record